AGGGCUAUAGCUCAGCGGUAGAGCGCCUCGUUUAUACCGAGAAUGUCUACGGUUCGAAUCCGUAUAGCCCUA
RNAcentral lists this transfer RNA (72 nucleotides) under Isoetes wormaldii. Its description in RNAcentral is "tRNA-Val". It matches the Rfam family "tRNA". Rfam says of the family: Transfer RNA (tRNA) molecules are approximately 80 nucleotides in length. Their secondary structure includes four short double-helical elements and three loops (D, anti-codon, and T loops). The record is from RNAcentral. Lineage: Eukaryota; Viridiplantae; Streptophyta; Lycopodiopsida; Isoetales; Isoetaceae.